UUCAGGGCGAGGUGAAAUUCCUCACCGGUGGUCACAGUCCACGAACCUUUUGGGUUGAUUUGGUGAAAUUCCAAAACCGACGGUUAGAGUCCGGAUGGAAGAAU
This 104-nucleotide non-coding RNA is filed under the name bovine gut metagenome. RNAcentral describes it as "FMN riboswitch (RFN element)". It matches the Rfam family "FMN riboswitch aptamer (RFN element)", at positions 8 to 131 of the family's 138-position model. Rfam says of the family: The RFN element is a highly conserved domain that is found frequently in the 5'-untranslated regions of prokaryotic mRNAs that encode for flavin mononucleotide (FMN) biosynthesis and transport proteins. This element is a metabolite-dependent riboswitch that directly binds FMN in the absence of proteins. The record is from RNAcentral.